AUGAGUAAACAAUAUAGAAUUUUAAGGAGUCGUUGUCACCGUCUACUGCAGUCGAUGUUGUCGUUCCCCGAAAUCCCAAUUCUAUUGAUCAAACUAAAUAUUCAGGUUCAUACGAACGUCUGUUACGUGCGUACCUAGGAAUGGGCCGGAUUAGAACCGACCAAGAAAAGGCAAGUCAAGUGCCAUUCUUCUAGGCCAAAGAAAGAUAUACAAAUUUGUUUAAAGGGAUAAUGGAAAAUGAAAAACUCAAUUUGAAAUCUUGUAUUCCCUUCAUAUAUAGUAUAGAUACAAGGGUAAUGAUUAGUUUUUAAAAAAGGUGUCAAAAGCCAAUAUAUAUAUGCUAAAAGCUAGAAAAUGAUCAAUCAACUUUCUAUUUGAUACAAGCAAAUGAGAAUAAACAUGACUGCAGCAAUUCUCAAGUUUGUCUAUACUAUAAUCAUAUAUCUUUUCCUACUUCGUGUUGUAGCCAAAGAUUUACAUCGACGGCAAUUAAACAUAUUGCCUAUAUUAUGCAUGUGUUGUUAUUAGUGGUUUGAAAUGUCACUGCAUGCAAAAGUAUAAAUGAAUUGUAAUAAAUAAAUAAAGGUGAUGUGAUUAUGUAAAACCAUUAUUAUUAAAUGAUGACAAUAUAUUGAUCAUGUAAUUAUACUAUGUAUACCGUUUAUUUUUACUCAAUAUGCAUACACUUAUAAACAUAAAUACAUCUAUUGAAUACAAUUCUAAUCAUAAAAAUUACAUAUUAAACCAAAUAAUACAUUUUUGUGUGGGUACAACACCACUCAAAUUUAUGAUAAAACAAAAGUAACAAAGCAUCUAUUAGACAUCCUUUAAAAAAAGUAUCUAUUAGACACAACUCUAAAUUAUGUAUGAUUAAUAUUAUAUUUGCAUCUACUGAGCGUAAUUUCAAUUUUAUGCAUAUAUAAAUGUUUCACUAGAAGACGUUCGUAGCAAAUUCCCCAGCAAACAUUUUUUUGCAGUUUUCUUCGAACCCUAGAACCAUAAAAUAUAUCCUUUUUAUAUUUUGUACAAGAAAAUAUAAAAAUUGCAUUUUGAGACUUUCAACUCGUAUCUUGCACAAGAAAAUAUAAAAAAGUUUUAAAAAUGUCACUUUUAAGGGUCGAACUCGCAAAUUGGCUCGUUGAUAAAAAUAUGGCAUGUCAUUGCGGAAAGGUUAAAAUAUGUUACAAUUUAUUACAUAUAUGAUUCAUAUUUGAAGAAAACAAGGUUUACCGUCAGCUAUAGGAAAUGAUAUACCUGUAAAAGCACUCUGAUACCAAAGUCAGGAAGUGUGCUAGUGUAGCGAUUGAGUGACUCUCAUGAGAUAUGGUGAUCAUACAUGGGGGAACGAUCAUUUGUUUAUAGUAAUGUGCUCUAGUUGUGCACUCAUAUUGGUGGCCAAUUUUGCUCUUGAGGUUGCUUUAGAUAUUCUUCAGUUUGUUUAUGGAAACUGAAACAAGAUAGGUGGUGCAUUUUUUAUUUGAGUUCAUUUCCUGAUGCUAGGAAAACUAGAUGUUUAUUUAAUUAUGUGUUGAUGCUAAAAACAUUGGAACACGUCUAUGUUGUUAGAUUCUUGAUGUGGAGUCGAGAUGAUCUUAUGUAUAUUGCAGGAGAUAAAGCUCCCCCGUUACAUCAUGCAUUAUGCUGAGGUGAGAACCUCAAAUAGUUUGUCUUUUUGGGCCUCAUUAUUGGGACUUUCAAGGGUGGCUUUGUUUUUGGACUCUUGAUGAGAUGACUUAAGCUAAUAGUCUUACACAAACCCCUUAAACCAUUAGUUAUGUUAACAAAUUUAAUGAGUCUAAAUUGUAUGAAAUUGUAGGGUUAAUAGGUUUUACCCCCCUGCCAUUUUGAUGAAAUUUGAUUUACUCAUUGUAAAAAAAAGUUUGAGAUUCCACUUGUAAUUUGAAGAUUCGUUGGUUUUCAACCCUGGGUGCAUCUGAUUGUGCAAAGAAUCUAAUAUGGCAUGUUGAUUGGAUAUUUUUAACGA
Long non-coding RNA from Medicago truncatula (barrel medic), 1984 nucleotides. RefSeq lists it as uncharacterized. The transcript has 2 exons. NCBI's taxonomy places the organism in Eukaryota, Viridiplantae, Streptophyta, Magnoliopsida, Fabales, Fabaceae. The record is from RefSeq and is a predicted model, not a curated record.